RNAcentral lists this ribosomal RNA (198 nucleotides) under uncultured bacterium. RNAcentral describes it as "partial 16S ribosomal RNA". It matches the Rfam family "Bacterial small subunit ribosomal RNA", at positions 159 to 353 of the family's 1533-position model. The record is from RNAcentral.
ACUGCUAAUACCGCAUAAGACCACAGUACCGCAUGGUACAGUGAUCAAAGGAUUUAUUCGCUGAAGGAUGGCUUCGCGUCCGAUUAGGUAGUUGGUGAGGUAACGGCCCACCAAGCCUACGAUCGGUAGCCGGACUGAGAGGUUGAUCGGCCACAUUGGGACUGAGACACGGCCCAGACUCCUACGGGAGGCAGCAUG